RNAcentral lists this long non-coding RNA (1274 nucleotides) under Equus asinus (donkey). RNAcentral describes it as "lncRNA (ENSEASG00005036337.1)". Lineage: Eukaryota; Metazoa; Chordata; Mammalia; Perissodactyla; Equidae. The record is from RNAcentral.
CUGAGGAGGAGUCUCCUCAGAGGAAUUGUGGGGUCUGGUCAAGGGCUGUCACUCUUCCUUUUUCAUUUCAGCAUCACCAACCACAGCCCCAGCUACAGCCCAAUCCAGGGCCACGGCCGUACUCCCAUCGCCUGUAUGCUCCUGGUGAUCCUCACCUGCUCCAUUCUCCUUGGCGUCCUAGGAUGUAUCUUUACAGUAAUAGGCUAACGAUGCUCCCAAGAAGGCCCUGAGGGUGUGGUCUAUGCCAGGGACUCUGCCUUCUGGUUGGCCUCCUUUGGAUCACCUGCUGUUCUUUUCUAGACCACCAGGAGUUCAGACCUUACAAAUGCAGAGACCGCCUUCAGAUCACGGCAAUCACACUCUUUUCUAUAAAUCACUGUCAUUCUUAAAGCCAGAUCUGGACAACGAUGGUGUGAGGUUCAAGGUGAGGUCAAUGGAAACAAGUUUCUCUAUUUCUCUACUAUCACUGUGGUAGCGAGAAGGUCACACCCAUUGGUCCUCUGGGCAUGAAGGUGAAUGCCACAGACACCUGGGAGAGACAGUCAGAAACUCUGACAGACCUGGUGGAAGAGCUCAAAAGGAAACUGCUUGACAUUAAGCCACAGAUUUCCACAACCAGCGCAUCACCACCCACAGGCCCAGGUACAACCCAUUCCAGGGCCGUGGCCAUCACUCCUGUCACCUGGAUCUUCCUGGUGCCCCUCACCUUCUCUGUUCUCCUUGGCAUCCUAGGCUGAGUCCAUCUCGUAACAGAGGCUGGAGUUGCUACCAAGAAGCCCCUGGGCGUCUGCCCUCGUUCCUCCACUCUCCCUUCUGGUUGGCGGCCUUGCCAUCACCUGCUCUUCCUCUCUCCACCACCAGGAGUUUCAGCCCCUACAGCAAAGGCAGAGGCCCCAGGAGUCCUGAUGACCAGGGAGAUGCAGCUUUGCCUUCCCUUUAUGCGCUUGGCUGAUAAUCUGCUUGACACUUUUUCUAAGCAUCGGGGCCAUUUCUCUCGGUGCUAAGUGUUGGGAUUCCUGCACUGAGCCUUCGAACUGCUCGAACAAGAAUCUCAACCCAGAGUCUGUUUCCACCUUCUCUCUGGUUGUGGAAAAUCAGAUGCAUCUCUAUGUCCUGACCCUGUUCUUGCACAUGAUAUUGCCAGAAAACUGUCGUGUGAGACUGCAGAACUUCCGGGAUUCUUUAUGUGUCCUGAGAAACAGCUUUGUGUGUUUUCAACAGAACAAGAUUAUAUUUAUGAUUGUUUCCUUUCAUAAUUUAUUGUCUUGCCACGG